GGGGAUAUAGCUCAGUGGUAGAGCAUUCGACUGCAGAUCGUAAGGUCCCAGAUUUGAACCCGGGUGUCCCCU
RNAcentral lists this transfer RNA (72 nucleotides) under Saccoglossus kowalevskii. RNAcentral describes it as "tRNA-Cys". It matches the Rfam family "tRNA". From Rfam's summary of the family: Transfer RNA (tRNA) molecules are approximately 80 nucleotides in length. The record is from RNAcentral. Lineage: Eukaryota; Metazoa; Hemichordata; Enteropneusta; Harrimaniidae.